RNAcentral lists this ribosomal RNA (325 nucleotides) under uncultured eukaryote. Its description in RNAcentral is "partial 18S ribosomal RNA". It matches the Rfam family "Eukaryotic small subunit ribosomal RNA", at positions 1470 to 1796 of the family's 1831-position model. The record is from RNAcentral.
CCCUUAGAUGUUCUGGGCCGCACGCGCGCCACACUGAUGCAUUCAACGAGCCUAUCCUUGACCGACAGGUCCGGGUAAUCUUUGAAUCUGCAUCGUGACGGGGAUAGAUUAUUGCAAUUAUUAAUCUUCAACGAGGAAUGCCUAGUAGGCGCAAGUCAUCAGCUUGCGUCGAUUACGUCCCUGCCCUUUGUACACACCGCCCGUCGCUCCUACCGAUUGGGUGUGCUGGUGAAAUGUUCGGAUCGGCCGUUUGUCGCGGUUUCCGCGGCUCGUGGCUGAGAAGUUCAUUAAACCCUCCCACCUAGAGGAAGGAGAAGUCGUAACA